Molecule: ribosomal RNA, 402 nt
Filed under: uncultured bacterium
Lineage: Bacteria
Description: bacterial SSU rRNA
Rfam family: Bacterial small subunit ribosomal RNA
Source: RNAcentral
UCGGGAAUUUUGGGCAAUGGGCGAAAGCCUGACCCAGCAACGCCGCGUGAGGGAUGAAGUAUUUCGGUAUGUAAACCUCGAAAGAAUGGGAAGAAUAAAUGACGGUACCAUUUAUAAGCUCCGGCUAACUACGUGCCAGCAGCCGCGGUAAUACGGAGGGUGCGAGCGUUAUCCGGAUUUACUGGGUUUAAAGGGUGCGUAGGUGGGCUUAUAAGUCAGUGGUGAAAUCUCCAAGCUUAACUUGGAAACUGCCGUUGAUACUAUAGGUCUUGAAUUAUCUGGAGGUAAGCGGAAUAUGUCAUGUAGCGGUGAAAUGCUUAGAUAUGACAUAGAACACCAAUUGCGAAGGCAGCUUACUACAUAUAAAUUGACGCUGAGGCACGAAAGCGUGGGGAUCAAACA